UCGGGAAUUUUGGGCAAUGGGGGAAACCCUGACCCAGCAACGCCGCGUGAAGGAUGAAGUAUUUCGGUAUGUAAACUUCGAAAGAAUAGGAAGAAUAAAUGACGGUACUAUUUAUAAGGUCCGGCUAACUACGUGCCAGCAGCCGCGGUAAUACGUAGGGUGCGAGCGUUAAUCGGAAUUACUGGGCGUAAAGUGUGCGCAGGCGGCCGAGCAAGUCGAGUGUGAAAGCCCCGAGCUUAACUUGGGAAUUGCGCUCGAAACUACUUGGCUGGAGUGUGGCAGAGGAGGGUGGAAUUCCACGUGUAGCGGUGAAAUGCGUAGAGAUGUGGAGGAACACCGAUGGCGAAGGCAGCCCUCUGGGCCAACACUGACGCUCAUGCACGAAAGCGUGGGGAGCAAACAGGAUUAGAUACCCUUGUAGUCCCUGAGCGGGCUGGCAAGGCGCAU
Molecule: ribosomal RNA, 447 nt
Filed under: uncultured bacterium
Lineage: Bacteria
Description: bacterial SSU rRNA
Rfam family: Bacterial small subunit ribosomal RNA
Source: RNAcentral